UAGGGAAUCUUCGGCAAUGGACGAAAGUCUGACCGAGCAACGCCGCGUGAGUGAAGAAGGUUUUCGGAUCGUAAAACUCUGUUGUUAGAGAAGAACAAGGACGUUAGUAACUGAACGUCCCCUGACGGUAUCUAACCAGAAAGCCACGGCUAACUACGUGCCAGCAGCCGCGGUAAUACGUAGGUGGCAAGCGUUGUCCGGAUUUAUUGGGCGUAAAGCGAGCGCAAGCGGUUUCUUAAGUCUGAUGUGAAAGCCCCCGGCUCAACCGGGGAGGGUCAGUGGAAACUGGGAGACUUGAGUGCAGAAGAGGAGAGUGGAAUUCCAUGUGUAGCGGUGAAAUGCGUAGAUAUAUGGAGGAACACCAGUGGCGAAGGCGGCUCUCUGGUCUGUAACUGACGCUGAGGCUCGAAAGCGUGGGGAGCAAACAGG
RNAcentral lists this ribosomal RNA (429 nucleotides) under Gemmatimonadota bacterium. Its description in RNAcentral is "Gemmatimonadetes bacterium partial 16S ribosomal RNA". It matches the Rfam family "Bacterial small subunit ribosomal RNA", at positions 355 to 776 of the family's 1533-position model. The record is from RNAcentral. Lineage: Bacteria; Pseudomonadati; Gemmatimonadota.